CCUACGGGGGGCAGCAGUCGAGAAUCAUUCACAAUGGGGGAAACCCUGAUGGUGCGACGCCGCGUGGGGGAAUGAAGGUCUUCGGAUUGUAAACCCCUGUCAUGUGGGAGCAAAUUAAAAAGAUAGUACCACAAGAGGAAGAGACGGCUAACUCUGUGCCAGCAGCCGCGGUAAUACAGAGGUCUCAAGCGUUGUUCGGAAUCACUGGGCGUAAGGCGUGCGUAGGCUGUUUCGUAAGUCGUGUGUGAAAGGCGCGGGCUCAACCCGCGGACGGCACAUGAUACUGCGAGACUAGAGUAAUGGAGGGGGAACCGGAAUGCUCGGUGUAGCAGUGAAAUGCGUAGAUAUCGAGAGGAACACUCGUGGCGAAGGCGGGUUCCUGGACAUUAACUGACGCUGAGGCACGAAGGCCAGGGGAGCGAAAGGGAUUAGAUACCCGAGUAGUC
This 446-nucleotide ribosomal RNA is filed under the name uncultured bacterium. Its description in RNAcentral is "partial 16S ribosomal RNA". It matches the Rfam family "Bacterial small subunit ribosomal RNA", at positions 338 to 795 of the family's 1533-position model. The record is from RNAcentral.